AUGGAGCAAGCUACUUACUACCUGUGCCUCCUCCUGGCUCUACUCCUCCCGCUCCUGCUCCUCAAGCUGAGCAGGAAGCGUGGCGGCGCCGUGCGCCUGCCGCCCGGCCCGUGGCGGCUGCCGGUCAUCGGCAGCCUGCACCACCUCGCCAGCAGCCCGCUCGCGCACCGCGUCAUGGCCGACCUCGCGCGCCGGCUGGACGCGCCGCUCAUGUACCUCAAGCUCGGGGAGGUCUCCGUCGUCGUCGCCUCGUCCCCGGAGGCCGCGCGCGAGGUCAUGAAGACGUACGACGUCGCCCUGGCGAGCCGGCCGUGGAACCCGACCAUCAAGAUCAUGAUGUCCGACGGGCAAGGGCUCGUCUUCGGCCGCUACGGCGCCCUCUGGCGGCAGCUCCGGAAGAUAUGCAUCCUGGAGCUGCUCAGCGCGCGCCGCGUGCAGUCGUUCCGCCAGAUCCGGGAGGACGAGGUCGGCCGCCUCGUGGCCGCCAUCGCGGCCGCGCCGCCCGGCCAGCUCGUGAACGUCAGCGAGCGGAUCGCCGUGCUCAUCACCGACUCCGCCGUGCGCACCAUGAUCGGGGACAGGUUUCAGAGGAGGGAGGAGUUCUUGCAGGUCCUCGAGGAGGGGGUCAAGCUCGUCACCGGGUUCAGCCUCGGCGACCUGUUCCCGUCGUCGUGGCUCGCCAACUUCAUAAGCGGCACGGCGCGGAUGGCCGAGGAGGUUCACCGGAAGAGCUUCGAGCUCAUGGAGUAUGCCAUCAAGCAACACGAGGACAAGAGGGCCGUGGGGGAUGGAGAGGACCUGGUGGACGUGCUCUUGAGGAUACAGAAAGAAGGCGGCCUCGAGGUGCCUCUCACCAUGGGAAUCAUCAAAGCAAGUAUCCUGGACCUCUUUAGUGCCGGGAGUGAGACGUCCGCAACGACACUCCAAUGGGCCAUGUCGGAGCUCAUGAGAUACCCAAACGUCAUGCAGAAAGCACAGGCCGAAGUACGCGAUUGCCUCGGAGAAAAGCACAUGGUGACUGAGGAUGACUUGGCUGACCUAAAAUACCUCAGACUCGUCAUCAAGGAGACAUUGAGGCUGCAUCCACCAGCCCCGCUGCUUAUUCCACGGGAGGCUAUGGAGUCCUGCAAAAUCCUAGGGUACGACGUGCCAAAGGGCACGACCGUGCUUGUGAAUGCGUGGGCGAUCGGUAGGGACCCUAAGCACUGGGACAACCCCGAGGAAUUUAAGCCACAGAGGUUCGAGUCUGGCAUCAUCGACUUCAAAGGCACGGACUUCGAGUACAUACCGUUUGGGGCGGGGAGAAGGAUGUGUCCUGGUAUGACAUUUGCACAGGCCAGCAUGGAGAUUGUUCUCGCCGCACUUCUCUACCACUUCGACUGGGAGCUCCCGUCGGGGCUGAAGCCAGGUGAGGUCGACAUGGUGGAGGACAUGGGCAUCACCGUCCGGAGGAAGAACGACUUGUACCUGCACGCCAUCGUCCGUGUGUCGCCUGUUUGA
Molecule: ribosomal RNA, 1500 nt
Filed under: Triticum aestivum (bread wheat)
Lineage: Eukaryota; Viridiplantae; Streptophyta; Magnoliopsida; Poales; Poaceae
Description: partial small subunit ribosomal RNA
Source: RNAcentral